CCCCACCCAAAACCCCCACAACUACCCGCUCUCAGCUGGAAAAAAAAUGUGUUCUUAUUUUAGGCCGAGUGGGGAGAAUAACCGAGCCGUCGGAGCUGUCAGGAGCCAUUCUACGGAUUUAAGUACUGUCCGUUUUCAUUGUUCACAUGUCUUUCGAGUGAAGUACUUGUAAUUUAAUUCGAAACUUCUUGACAUCGUCGCAAAAAAAAAAAAAACAACAACAUGAAAUGACAACUAUACGGUGUGUUAUAGCAUACUUACUGACUCAUGAUAUAUCUGGAUGGGCUUUUAAAUGUCGAGGACAAUGUUAAUGCAAUAGGAGAUUCAAGUGAGUAUUUACUUCUGCUUGCCAAGAGGAUGUAAUUUGAGUGCGGGAUCCAUUCACGUGCCCAAGUUCUACUGCUAAAAUAAUAUAAACAAGUAACACAGAUGACCUUCUCAUAUGGUAGAACAAUCUCAUUAUAUUCACAGUUGCACGCAUUAUACUGUAUUAAAGACUGCAUGUACAGUGCAUCCGGAAAGUAUCCCCCUCUCAAAUUGUUAGAUUCCAGCCUUAUUCCAAAAUGGAAUUAAUUAACACACAACAUGCCAUAAUGACAUUGUUGUUGUUGUUUUUUUUUAAAUUAUUUCUGAAAAUGUAUUAGAAAUGAAAUUGUAACAAAUCACAAUUCACAGCCUUUUGCUCAAUACUGUGGUGCCUUGAGAUGUGAGUUUAAUGGGUUCUGUGCCCAUGCUUGUAUCUCAAAUCACCUUUCCCCGUUGAAAUGAAUGGAAAUACCAUUAAUCUCUUCUAGCCCCACCCCCACCCCAAAAAAAAAAAAAACUUUUGUUUUUGCUUUUUAAUAAGGGUAAAUAGCCCUUUUUAAUUUUACAAUUUAUAAAACAUAGCUAGCAUGUUAAGCAUUAAACAGUUUGUACAUCACGGUUUAAUGCUGCAAUUCAAUUCAGCGUGCUGCUCCUUCCGGCGUGCCCGCCUCGGCCAAUGGAUAAUACAGCCAUGCAGACGCAAACGACGAAAAAUAGACUAUUAAUACUACUCAGUCAAUUGUAAAUUGCUGUAAUAUUAGUCAUUUUUUCAUAGAGGAUAAAGAAAGCGGGGAAUGACCUCAGUGAGAUUACAUGAGGAAAAAGGGAGUGGCUUUCCGUGGCGAACUCGGUGCAAAGCUGACCACAUCCGAGCAGUUUGUCAGGGUGUGCUGGCUUUUCUCAAUGUUUGCUCUGUGGGGGAGGUUCCUUCGGUGGUCAUGUUGUUUUCUCAGCUCGUGUUAAAUUAGAUGAGGCACAUCAGCGAAGCAACUAGACCGCCCAUUGCACCCUCAUUUUUUUUUUUUUUUUGUCUUUAAAGUUAACACUGAGAGUUUGAUUUGUGUAUAUACUGGUAAUUUCAUUUGACAUUUGUAUGGCAUUUAAGAAUGCAACAAUGAUACUGAAUAGUUAAUAAAGCGUUUCGGAUGGUGAAAAUGUAUGAUUUGGUGCGGGGGCGGCACGGUGACUGUCAAAAAUGAAUACUGUAUGUCGGCGCCAUCCAAUAAAUGUGCUCUCAAAUUGCCUUCUCUCCGUUUAAUUUCGACAAUCAUAUCAUCUUUCCCCAUCACCUCAGGCCACCAGCACUGAAUUAAAUGUCAAGGACAUAAUAUGCACACUCGGUAUUAUUUAUUAAAACAAAGAAAAUAAAAAGAAAAUCACUUUUCCAAGAACACUUCUUGGCUGCUUAAUAAUUAACGAAGUACCUUUAAGUCAUUUUGCUCUGCUCUCCUCAGUCCAUUUUGGCUCCAAGAGGUAGACUAGGAUCUCUCCCACAGUUGAGUUGCCAUUUGUUUACAUUUUUGCCCACAGGUGGAUUUGGCCAAGUCCUUAGAGAUGAGUUACUUCCACCCCUAAUCCCUGGCAUCAUGAUCAGGCUUGUGAAAACAGGUUAGAACGGGCAAAGGGAACCCUGUUGGUCAUAAAGAGCUAAAAGGAACAUUUGUUCCUCACAUUGAGGCCACUUGUUCUCCAUCAAACAGAUGUCGGAGGCUGAUUCUGAACAGAUAGCUGACCAAUUUUAAAUACUUAACAGCCGGGAAAAAAAUGAAUCCAUUUAUUCUGCGGAGAGAUUAAUCGAGCAAGUUCUACAAUGACUCAAGUCAGCAUCCAGCAGAGGUUGCGCAAGCCUUCUUGGAAGUUGCUCUUAGCCGCAAUUUUCACUGGAACGUUCAUCCUCUGAAGAUUUCGCACAUAUUUUUACUAUAGACGAAAUGAUUGGUUGGUAAUGCGGAAAUAUGUCUUCGUCUGAUUCAUUGGUAAGCAAAAGCGUUGGGAACACAUUGUUUUGAUAGCAUAAACAUGCUUAAAAAUGCUUAAACAGCAACAUACGGCAUCUGAUGUGAUUAUUUUUUUUUUUGUCCGUUCCUCUCAGUACAAGCACGAUGGCAGUUAAUAAAAGAAGGAAACUAUUUUGUCUACAGAGAUGUUUUUGUGGUUGUGCCAAAUUACCAAAGCGAGUAUUAUGCAUAAUUGACAGUUAAAAAAAAAAAUACCAUUGACCUUUUUAAUGAAGUACAUUUCAGAGUCUGUCCUUUUUUAACUUUCACUUUUUCUAGUCAUUUUUUUUUUACACAUGUAUCUAUACUUUUGCCACCUGUGACGUACAGCGUUGUUACUGGUUUCAUUUUUUUUUUUCAGCUUCUACUUCCUGUUUUCUUCCAAUUCCUGUUGGCUAGAUAGCAGAACUUAACAGCUCUCUGCGGACGAAUGACUUUGAUUUGGAUGCAUUUGUGUCCCAUCUCGCGGGAACGUAUCGUUACACUGAGCAAUGUCCCCACAUGAGGAAAACCCUUCCCAUGUUCCUUUGUAUAUUUCUAACAAUGGUUUAUCAUCAAUAUUUUUGGCCUAUGUCUAAGUGCGUGCGUGCGUGCGUGCGUGCGUCUUGGUGAAAGGAGGAAGUGGUUGCAGGACGACGGAGAGGGAGCUAACCUUCAUCCUUCCUUUGCCAAGUCACAAAAAAAAUAAAAAAAAUGGAUCAUUCUCGACUUGCCAUUCAUUGUGUACAGACUUUUAACAUCUUUUGUUGAAUAUGUUCAGACUGAGCCAGGAUAACAUUAACAGGAUAGUAUUAAUGCAUUAUUAAUGUAUUAAUAAAGUUUGCAGGUAAAUGAAUGUUAUUUUUCUCGGAAUAAUCAAAAUAGAUUGACAGAGUUUUGAAAAGAGCUAUUCUUACUAUCCAUCCAUUUUCUACCGCUUAUCCGAGGUCGGGUUGCGGGGGCAGUAGCUUUAGCAGGGGCGCCCAGACUUCCCUCUCCCCAGCCACUUCAUCCAGCUCUUCCGAGACGUUCCCAGGCCAGCCGAAGGACGUAGUCUCUCCAGCCUGUCCUGGGUUGUCCCCGGGUCCUCCUCCUGGUGGGACAUGCUUCAGAUAACCCAGACCCUGCUUCCUCAUUGUUGAUGGUGUACUGCGUCACCCUCCUGAGACGCCGGACGGUGGACCGGAAUUUCCUCUAAGCCGUCCGGAAGUCUUUCUCCAUGGCCUCACCGAACUCCUCCCAGUUUUUGCUUCAGCGACCACCAAAGCUGCAUUCCGCUUGGCAAGCUGGUACCCAUCAGCUGUCUCAGGAGUCCCACGGGCCAAAAAGGCCCGAUAGGACUUGACGGCAUCGCUCACCGUUAGUGUCCACCAACGGGUUCGGGGAUUGCCGCCACGCCAGGCACCGACCACCUUACGGCCACAGCUCCGGUCGGCCACCUCAGCAAUGGAGGCGCGGAACAUGGUCCACUCAAACUCGAUGUCCCCGCCUCCCCUGGAACAUGAGCAAAGUUCUGUCGGAGGUGGGAGUUGAAACUCCUUCUGACAGGGGAUUCCGCCAGACGUUCCCAGGAGACCCUCACAAUACGUUUGGACCUGCCACGUCAGACCGGCAUCUCCCCCCAUCAUCGGAGCCAACUCACCACCAGGUGGUGAACAGUUGAUAGAGAGGUGACAUUCCACGUGCCUAGAGCCAGCUUCUCUAGCUGCGGAUCGGAUCGCCAAAGUCCCUGCCUUCAGCCACCGCCCAGCCCGCACUGCACCCGAACCCUAUGGCCCCUCCCACAGGUGGUGAGCCCACGGGAAGGGGGACCCACGUUACCCUUUCGGGCUGUGCCCGGCAGGGCCCCGUGGGUGCCUUCGAGCCCCACCUCCAGGCCUGGCUCCAGAGGGGGGCCCCGCUCUGUCUGCGCCAGAGCUCACAGGGGAGUUCGCUAUUCCAGCCCGAGCAGUCUCUGAACCACACCAACCACCAACCUCUUGUACUGUAACCCUGAUCGUAAGAAGAGGUCACGGUCUCAUUGACCUAACCGGUGCUUUCAAAGACCCAGAAAUGAUUGCAUCUGAGGUCAAUAUAAAAAGGAGUUUCUCCAUUUGAGAGCAUGAAAAGGGAGAAGGAAGUGGCGUUUUGCGAGAUUGCCUGACAGAAUUUUGGACGGAUUUCUAUGACAGCUCCACACUGGGAGUUGAAGUCAAAGUCCCCUCAGUGUGAAGACGGGAAGGCUAUCGCUAAAGUGUUUGUAGUUGGAUGGGAACAAGCUGCUUACUUCCCAGUGAAACUUGCUGUACCAUUUCUGGAAGAGGCGCACAAAAACAAAUGCAAAGUCAGUGAAGGAGCUUCUAAACUUUCCAGAGGAGAUGACAGCAGCCCAGUUAACGGUUUCGAGCUACCUAAAAAGGUACAUCAGGGAAAUUGAUUGCAACGCUCUCCAGCAUUUCCUGCGGUUCUGUACCGGGUCCGAUCUCUUGGACAAAGCAGUAUUCAUUGAGUUCAUAGAAACCACAGAUUUCCUCCGCCGUCCACAGUUUCACACACGUGGAUGUGUACUAGAGCUGUCUAUUGGUCACUACAGCUAGCCAGAUUGUCACAGCAAAUUUAACAACCUUCUCACAACCUCUGUCAGGGCUGCUGUUUCAGCACCCUGAGUCCAGCCCGUGUGUGUGUGUGUGUGUGUGUGUGUGUCAAGCUGACAACCUGGAUGUGGGUGAUGGAUGCGGUGUAGGUCGUUGUAACAACUACGUAGCCUGUUGUAUGAGGGGCUGUCAGUAACAUAGUUCAGGAUUACCUUUCACUCAAAAGUGAAAUACUCUCAAACACACUCAACAGAAAUACUAUCAUACACAGUACUGAAACACACGCACGCACACACACACACACGCACACGCACACACACACACACACACACACACACUAUUGAAGUGUUUUCAGACAGUACUGAAACGCUCUAACCAAAAACACUCACUCACUACUUCUCUCUCCAUAAUCUUGAAUUCUGUCCGUAACAAUCACACAUGACCCUUGUGCCUUUUUUUUUUGUUUUGUUUUUUUUUAAAUGUGGGCCAUUUUAUUUCACCUGCUUUUAAAGUGUUGUGUUUGUGUUGUGAACUAUUUGGUAAAACGAGUUUGCACAAAAUGUUCUAAUGUUCUAUUUUUUUUUAAAUUUCUGGAUUCUAUACAUCUGCACUCCAUCCAUCCAUUUUUCUGAGCCGCUUCUCCUCACAAGGGUCGCGGGAGUGCUGGAGCCAAUCCCAGCUAUCAUCGGGCAGGAGGCGGGGUACGCCCUGAACUGGUUGCCAGCCAAUCGCAGGGCACAUACAAACAAACAACCAUUCACAUCUGCACUUGCACAUUUAUAAUGAGAUCACCCAGAGUUAUUUAAAAAUGUGUGAUUUGUUAUGGAAGACAAUUCUUGAGCAAACACUGGAUUGUUUAAAUUUCUUCCACUGUUGUUAAAACGGAAGUACAGAAAAACAAAAAAACAAACAUUGACAAUAAAUUCAUGUUAAAGCCUG
This is a long non-coding RNA of Phyllopteryx taeniolatus (common seadragon), 5794 nucleotides long. RefSeq lists it as uncharacterized. Lineage: Eukaryota; Metazoa; Chordata; Actinopteri; Syngnathiformes; Syngnathidae. The transcript has 2 exons. The record is from RefSeq and is a predicted model, not a curated record.